CCUACGGGAGGCAGCAGUGGGGAAUAUUGCACAAUGGGGGAAACCCUGAUGCAGCAACGCCGCGUGAGUGAAGAAGUAUCUCGGUAUGUAAAGCUCUAUCAGCAGGGAAGAAAAUGACGGUACCUGACUAAGAAGCCCCGGCUAACUACGUGCCAGCAGCCGCGGGAAUACGUAGGGGGCAAGCGUUAUCCGGAUUUACUGGGUGUAAAGGGAGCGUAGACGGUGUGGCAAGUCUGAAGUGAAAGCCCGGGGCUCAACCCCGGGACUGCUUUGGAAACUGUCAUGCUGGAGUGCUGGAGAGGUAAGCGGAAUUCCUAGUGUAGCGGUGAAAUGCGUAGAUAUUAGGAGGAACACCGGUGGCGAAGGCGGCCUGCUGGACUGCGACUGACGUUGAGGCCCGAAAGCGUGGGGAGCAAACAGGAUUAGAUACCCGUGUAGUC
Molecule: ribosomal RNA, 440 nt
Filed under: uncultured bacterium
Lineage: Bacteria
Description: partial 16S ribosomal RNA
Rfam family: Bacterial small subunit ribosomal RNA
Source: RNAcentral